This is a long non-coding RNA of Hyposmocoma kahamanoa, 327 nucleotides long. RefSeq lists it as uncharacterized. Lineage: Eukaryota; Metazoa; Arthropoda; Insecta; Lepidoptera; Cosmopterigidae. The transcript is spliced from 3 exons. The record is from RefSeq and is a predicted model, not a curated record.
UAACCCGUCACCUCUACGAGGACCCUCGGCGUCACUCUCCGGGCGCCCUCACAGACCUCCGGUCGGCGCUGGUGAACAACACUAUAUUCGCCACGCUCGCUGCCAGACACGGGUUCCACAAGUAUUUCCGACACAUGUCGCCCGGUCUUAACGAAGUAUUAACUAAAUACAUUAAGAUUCAAGAAGAGAACGGCCAUUCUAUAAGCGAGGAGCACUAUUUAAUACAAGAGGACGAAAUGGAACAAGCUGAAGACGUGGAAGUUCCAAAGGCCUUAGGAGACCUCUUCGAAUCAGUGGCUGGGGCGAUUUUCCUAGACUCGGGUAUGU